RNAcentral lists this ribosomal RNA (473 nucleotides) under uncultured organism. RNAcentral describes it as "partial 16S ribosomal RNA". It matches the Rfam family "Bacterial small subunit ribosomal RNA", at positions 335 to 799 of the family's 1533-position model. The record is from RNAcentral.
ACUCCUGCGGGAGGCAGCAGUGGGGAAUUUUGGACAAUGGGCGAAAGCCUGAUCCAGCCAUGCCGCGUGCAGGAUGAAGGCCUUCGGGUUGUAAACUGCUUUUGUACGGAACGAAACGGCCUUUUCUAAUAAAGAGGGCUAAUGACGGUACCGUAAGAAUAAGCACCGGCUAACUACGUGCCAGCAGCCGCGGUAAUACGUAGGGUGCAAGCGUUAAUCGGAAUUACUGGGCGUAAAGCGUGCGCAGGCGGUUAUGUAAGACAGUUGUGAAAUCCCCGGGCUCAACCUGGGAACUGCAUCUGUGACUGCAUAGCUAGAGUACGGUAGAGGGGGAUGGAAUUCCGCGUGUAGCAGUGAAAUGCGUAGAUAUGCGGAGGAACACCGAUGGCGAAGGCAAUCCCCUGGACCUGUACUGACGCUCAUGCACGAAAGCGUGGGGAGCAAACAGGAUUAGAUACCCCAGUAGUCCCAUG